This 629-nucleotide ribosomal RNA is filed under the name Pestalotiopsis microspora. RNAcentral describes it as "eukaryotic LSU rRNA". The stretch from base 250 to 403 matches the Rfam family "5.8S ribosomal RNA". Lineage: Eukaryota; Fungi; Ascomycota; Sordariomycetes; Amphisphaeriales; Sporocadaceae. RNAcentral also lists the same sequence under 1 other name. The record is from RNAcentral.
GGAAGUAAAAGUCGUAACAAGGUCUCCGUUGGUGAACCAGCGGAGGGAUCAUUAUAGAGUUUUCUAAACUCCCAACCCAUGUGAACUUACCAUUGUUGCCUCGGCAGAAGCUGCUCGGCGCGCCUUACCUUGGAACGGCCUACCCUGUAGCGCCUUACCCUGGAACGGCUUACCCUGCAACGGCUGCCGGUGGACUACCAAACUCUUGUUAUUUUAUGGUUAUCUGAGCGUCUUAUUUUAAUAAGUCAAAACUUUCAACAACGGAUCUCUUGGUUCUGGCAUCGAUGAAGAACGCAGCGAAAUGCGAUAAGUAAUGUGAAUUGCAGAAUUCAGUGAAUCAUCGAAUCUUUGAACGCACAUUGCGCCCAUUAGUAUUCUAGUGGGCAUGCCUGUUCGAGCGUCAUUUCAACCCUUAAGCCUAGCUUAGUGUUGGGAGCCUACUGCUUUUGCUAGCUGUAGCUCCUGAAAUACAACGGCGGAUCUGCGAUAUCCUCUGAGCGUAGUAAUUUUUAUCUCGCUUUUGACUGGAGUUGCAGCGUCUUUAGCCGCUAAACCCCCCAAUUUUUAAUGGUUGACCUCGGAUCAGGUAGGAAUACCCGCUGAACUUAAGCAUAUCAAUAAGCGGAGGA